Molecule: ribosomal RNA, 840 nt
Filed under: uncultured Alphaproteobacteria bacterium
Lineage: Bacteria; Pseudomonadati; Pseudomonadota; Alphaproteobacteria
Description: bacterial SSU rRNA
Rfam family: Bacterial small subunit ribosomal RNA
Source: RNAcentral
GGCCUAACACAUGCAAGUCGAACGCUCUAGCAAUAGAGAGUGGCGCACGGGUGCGUAACGCGUGGGAAUAUGCCCUUGACUACGGAACAACAUCGGGAAACUGAUGCUAAUACCGUAUAAUGUCUUCGGACCAAAGAUUUAUCGGUCAAGGAUUAGCCCGCGUUAGAUUAGCUAGUUGGUGAGGUAAUGGCUCACCAAGGCGACGAUCUAUAGCUGGUCUGAGAGGAUGAUCAGCCACACUGGGACUGAGACACGGCCCAGACUCCUACGGGAGGCAGCAGUGAGGAAUAUUGGACAAUGGGCGCAAGCCUGAUCCAGCUAUGCCGCGUGAGUGAUGAAGGCCUUCGGGUUGUAAAGCUCUUUCAGAUGCGAAGAUAAUGACGGUAACAUCAGAAGAAGCCCCGGCUAAAUUCGUGCCAGCAGCCGCGGUAAUACGAAUGGGGCAAGCGUUGUUCGGAAUCACUGGGCUUAAAGCGUGCGCAGGCGGUCAUGAAAGUCAGAAGUGAAAUCCCAGGGCUUAACCCUGGAAUUGCUUUUGAAACUCCAUGACUAGAAUUCCGGAGAGGUUAGCAGAAUUCCGAGUGUAGAGGUGAAAUUCGCAGAUAUUCGGAGGAAUACCAAUGGCGAAGGCAGCUAACUGGACGGGCAUUGACGCUCAGGCACGAAAGCGUGGGUAGCAAACAGGAUUAGAUACCCUGGUAGUCCACGCCGUANACGAUGUGUGCUCGUUGUUGGAAUCUUAGAUUCCAGUAACAAAGCGAAAGUGAUUAGCACACCGCCUGGGGAGUACGGUCGCAAGAUUAAAACUCAAAGGAAUUGACGGGGACCCGCACAAGCGGU